AGAGUUUGAUCAUGGCUCAGGAUGAACGCUGGCGGCGUGCCUAAUACAUGCAAGUCGAACGAGAUGCUUUUGUAGCAAUACGAGAGUAUUCUAGUGGCGAACGGGUGAGUAACGCGUUGGUGACCUACCCCAAAGUGUGGGAUAACAGUCCGAAAGGAUUGCUAAUACCGCAUGUGGUCUUCGGAUUUAGAAACUGAUGACUAAAGGAGCAAUUCGCUUUGGGAGGGACCUGCGUCCCAUCAGCUAGUUGGUGAGGUAAUGGCUCACCAAGGCGACGACGGGUAGGGGACCUGAGAGGGUGGCCCCCCACAAUGGAACUGAAACACGGUCCAUACACCUACGGGUGGCAGCAGUAGGGAAUAUUGCUCAAUGGGCGAAAGCCUGAAGCAGCAACGCCGCGUGCGCGAUGAAGGCCUUCGGGUCGUAAAGCACUUUUCUGAGAGAUGAGAAAGGACAGUAUCUCAGGAAUAAGUCUCGGCUAACUACGUGCCAGCCGCCGCGGUAAUAC
This 508-nucleotide ribosomal RNA is filed under the name uncultured bacterium. RNAcentral describes it as "bacterial SSU rRNA". It matches the Rfam family "Bacterial small subunit ribosomal RNA", at positions 8 to 526 of the family's 1533-position model. The record is from RNAcentral.